AGCGAACGCUGGCGGCAGGCCUAACACAUGCAAGUCGAACGAACCUUUCGGGGUUAGUGGCGGACGGGUGAGUAACACGUGGGAACGUGCCUUUAGGUUCGGAAUAACUCAGGGAAACUUGUGCUAAUACCGAAUGUGCCCUCCGGGGGAAAGAUUAAUCGCCUUUAGAGCGGCCCGCGUCUGAUUAGCUAGUUGGUUGAGGUAAUGGCUCACCAAGGCGACGAUCAGUAGCUGGUCUGAGAGGAUGAUCAGCCACAUUGGGACUGAGACACGGCCCAAAAUCCUACGGGAGGCAGCAGUGGGGAAUCUUGCGAAAUGGGCGAAAGCCUGACGCAGCCAUGCCGGGUGAAUGAUGAAGGUCUUAGGAUAGUAAAAUUCUUUCACCGGGGACGAUAAUGACGGUACCCGGAGAAGAAGCCCCGGCUAACUUCGUG
RNAcentral lists this ribosomal RNA (434 nucleotides) under uncultured bacterium. Its description in RNAcentral is "partial 16S ribosomal RNA". It matches the Rfam family "Bacterial small subunit ribosomal RNA", at positions 29 to 507 of the family's 1533-position model. The record is from RNAcentral.